GAUCCUGGCUCAGAACGAACGCUGGCGGCGUGGUUUAGGCAUGCAAGUCGAGCGCGAAAUUCCUUCGGGAGACGAGUAGAGCGGCGAAAGGGUGAGUAAUGCUCAGGCAACUUGCCCUGGACCGGGAUAGCCACUGGAAACGGUGGGUAAUACCGGAUGGUCUCGAUACGGCUGCCCGCGUCGAGUAAAGGUGGGGAUUUUCGAACCUGCCACCAGGGGAGAGGCUUGAGUCGCCAGCUUGUUGGUGAGGUAAUGGCUCACCAAGGCGAAGACGCGUAGCCGGACUGAGAGUGGCCGGCCACACUGGCACUGAGACACUGGCCAGACUCCUACGGGAGGCUGCAGUCGAAUCUUCCGCAAUGGACGAAAGUCUGACGGAGCGACGCCGCGUGGAGGAAGAAGGCCUUGGUUGUAAACUCCUGUCAGAGCUUAUGAAUGCUGGUGGGCUAAUACCCCAUCCGUUGAAAGGGCUCAAAGGAAGCCACAGCUAACUUCGUGCCAGCAGCUGCGGUAAUACGAAGGUCGAGCGUUGUUCGGAUUCACUGGGCAUAAAGGGCGAGUAGGCGGUCGACCAAGUGGAAUGAAAGCCCGGGGCUCAACCCCGGAACUGCAUUCCAAACUUGUUGACUAGAGGACAGGGGGGAAGUGGAACUCCAGGUGGAGCGGUGAAAUGCGUAGAUAUCUGGAGGAACACCGGGCGAAAGCGACUUCCUGGCCUGUCCCUGACGCUGAGGCGCGAAAGCGUGGGUAGCAAAGGAUUAGAUACCCUGGUAGUCCACGCCGUAAACGAUGAGCACUAGGUAGCCGUGGGAAGACCCGUGGCUGCCGCAGGUAAUCCGUUAAGUGCUCCGCCUGGGGAGUAUGGUCGCAACUGAAACUCAAAGGAAUUGACGGGGGCUCACACAAGCGGUGGAGGAUGUUGCUUAAUUAAGCAACGCGAAGAACCUUACCAGGGUUUGAAAUGCAGGGAUUAACCGGGUGAAAGCCGGGAUUGCCUUCGGGUGUAACCUGCGCAGGUGUAGCAUGGCUGUCGUCAGCUCGUGCCGAGGUGUUGGGUUAAGUCCCGUAACGAGCGCAACCCCUAUCGUUAGUUGCCAGCGCGUUGGCGGGGACUCUAGCGAGACUGCCGGUGUCAAACCGGAGGAAGGUGGGGACGACGUCGUCAUCAUGGCCCCUACGCCCUGGGCUGCAAACGUCCUACAAUGGUCGGUACAGAGGGGCCAACCCGCGAGGGGGAGCUAAUCUCAAAAAGCCGGCCUUAGUUCGGAUUGCAGGCUAAUUCGCCUGCAUGAAGUCGGAAUCGCUAGUAAUCGCGGAUCAGCACGCCGCGGUGAAUGUUCCUGAGCCUUGUACACACCGCCCGUCAAGCCACGGGAGUCGGGGGUGCCCGAAGGUUGAUCCAACCCGCAAGGGAGGAAGGCGCCGAAGGUAAACUCGAUGACGGGACUAAG
This 1451-nucleotide ribosomal RNA is filed under the name uncultured bacterium. RNAcentral describes it as "bacterial SSU rRNA". It matches the Rfam family "Bacterial small subunit ribosomal RNA". The record is from RNAcentral.